AUUGAACGCUGGCGGCAGGCCUAACACAUGCAAGUCGAACGGUAACAUGACUAGCUUGCUAGUUGAUGACGAGUGGCGGACGGGUGAGUAACGCGUAGGAAUCUACCCAGUAGCGGGGGAUAAGCCAGAGAAAUUUGGUCUAAUACCGCAUACGCCCUACGGGGGAAAGCAGGGGAUCUUCGGACCUUGCACUAUUGGAUGAGCCUGCGUGAGAUUAGCUUGUUGGUGAGGUAAUGGCUCACCAAGGCAACGAUCUCUAGCUGGUCUGAGAGGAUGAUCAGCCACACUGGAACUGAGACACGGUCCAGACUCCUACGGGAGGCAGCAGUGGGGAAUAUUGCACAAUGGGCGCAAGCCUGAUGCAGCCAUGCCGCGUGUGUGAAGAAGGCCCUAGGGUUGUAAAGCACUUUCAGCAGUGAGGAAAGGUGCGUAGUUAAUACCUGCGUACUGUGACGUUAACUGCAGAAGAAGCACCGGCUAACUCCGUGCCAGCAGCCGCGGUAAUACGGAGGGUGCAAGCGUUAAUCGGAAUUACUGGGCGUAAAGCGCGCGUAGGUGGAUUGGUCAGUCAGAUGUGAAAGCCCAGGGCUCAACCUUGGAACUGCACCUGAUACUGCCAGUCUAGAAUACGGUAGAGGGUAGUGGAAUUUCCUGUGUAGCGGUGAAAUGCGUAGAUAUAGGAAGGAACACCAGUGGCGAAGGCGACUACCUGGACCGAUAUUGACACUGAGGUGCGAAAGCGUGGGGAGCAAACGGGAUUAGAUACCCCGGUAGUCCACGCCGUAAACGAUGUCUACUAGCUGUAGGGGUACUUGAGACCUUUGUAGCGUAGCUAACGCAAUAAGUAGACCGCCUGGGGAGUACGGCCGCAAGGUUA
RNAcentral lists this ribosomal RNA (877 nucleotides) under uncultured marine bacterium. RNAcentral describes it as "bacterial SSU rRNA". It matches the Rfam family "Bacterial small subunit ribosomal RNA", at positions 28 to 896 of the family's 1533-position model. The record is from RNAcentral.